CAGUAGCCGCGGUAAUACGAAGGGGGCUAGCGUUGCUCGGAAUCACUGGGCGUAAAGGGUGCGUAGGCGGGUCUUUAAGUCAGGGGUGAAAUCCUGGAGCUCAACUCCAGAACUGCCUUUGAUACUGAAGAUCUUGAGUUCGGGAGAGGUGAGUGGAACUGCGAGUGUAGAGGUGAAAUUCGUAGAUAUUCGCAAGAACACCAGUGGCGAAGGCGGCUCACUGGCCCGAUACUGACGCUGAGGCACGAAAGCGUGGGGAGCAAACAGGAUUAGAGACCCGCGUAGUCCCUGUCUCUUAUAC
RNAcentral lists this ribosomal RNA (301 nucleotides) under uncultured bacterium. RNAcentral describes it as "partial 16S ribosomal RNA". It matches the Rfam family "Bacterial small subunit ribosomal RNA", at positions 509 to 807 of the family's 1533-position model. The record is from RNAcentral.